RNAcentral lists this transfer RNA (75 nucleotides) under Podarcis lilfordi (Lilford's wall lizard). RNAcentral's name for it is "tRNA.Ile". Lineage: Eukaryota; Metazoa; Chordata; Lepidosauria; Squamata; Lacertidae. The record is from RNAcentral.
GCCUCCAGUGACUCAGUUGGAUCGAGCAUUGUGCUGAUAAUGCCAAGGUUGCAAGUUUGAUCCCUGUAUGAGACA